UGAGGAACAUGACCUUCGGCGGGGGAUAGCCGGCCCAACGGCCGGGUAAUACCGCGUACGACCACUUGGGGACAUCCUCGAGUGGUGAAAGCAGCAAUGCGCCGAUGAAGUGCCUCGCGGCCUAUCAGCUAGUUGGUGUGGUAACGGCUCACCAAGGCGACGACGGGUAGCUGGUCUGAGAGGAUGGCCAGCCACAUUGGGACUGAGACACGGCCCAGCUCCGUAGGGACGG
RNAcentral lists this ribosomal RNA (232 nucleotides) under uncultured bacterium. RNAcentral describes it as "partial 16S ribosomal RNA". It matches the Rfam family "Bacterial small subunit ribosomal RNA", at positions 118 to 348 of the family's 1533-position model. The record is from RNAcentral.